UACGGAGGGUGCGAGCGUUGUUCGGAAUCACUGGGCGUAAAGGGAGCGUAGGCGGCGUGGUAAGUCAGAUGUGAAAUCCCGGGGCUCAACCCCGGAACUGCAUCCGAUACUGCCAUGCUAGAGGAUUGGAGAGGUAGCUGGAAUUCUUGGUGUAGCAGUGAAAUGCGUAGAGAUCAAGAGGAACACUCGUGGCGAAAGCGAGCUACUGGACAAUUCCUGACGCUGAGGCUCGAAGGCUAGGGUAGCGAAAGGG
This 253-nucleotide ribosomal RNA is filed under the name uncultured bacterium. RNAcentral describes it as "partial 16S ribosomal RNA". It matches the Rfam family "Bacterial small subunit ribosomal RNA", at positions 524 to 776 of the family's 1533-position model. The record is from RNAcentral.